GAUGCAGGCGUCAGCGAGAAAGCGUUGCCGCAGGCAACGACCCGAAGGGCGAAGCGCGCAGCGCUGAGUCAUCCUUCCCCCACCACCA
This 88-nucleotide small RNA is filed under the name Salmonella enterica subsp. enterica serovar Bovismorbificans. RNAcentral's name for it is "partial RtT sRNA". It matches the Rfam family "RtT RNA", at positions 45 to 130 of the family's 130-position model. Rfam says of the family: This family represents a bacterial cis-regulatory element known as RtT RNA. The exact function of RtT is unknown although it is thought that it may be involved in changing the cellular response in relation to amino acid starvation. Lineage: Bacteria; Pseudomonadati; Pseudomonadota; Gammaproteobacteria; Enterobacterales; Enterobacteriaceae. The record is from RNAcentral.